GCAACUCGACUGCACGAAGCUGGAAUCGCUAAUAAUCGCGGAUCAGCACGCCGCGGUGAAUACGUUCCCGGGCCUUGUACACACCGCCCGUCACACCAUGGAAGUCUGCAAUGCCCGAAGCCGGUGGCCUACCACUUAUGUGGAAGGAGCCGUCUAAGGCAGGGCAGAUGACUGGGGUGAAGUCGUAACAAGGUAUC
Molecule: ribosomal RNA, 197 nt
Filed under: uncultured bacterium
Lineage: Bacteria
Description: partial 16S ribosomal RNA
Rfam family: Bacterial small subunit ribosomal RNA
Source: RNAcentral